UACGUAGGUGGCGAGCGUUGUCCGGAAUUACUGGGCGUAAAGCGCGCGUAGGCGGUGGCGUGAGUCGGGCGUGAAAGCCCCCGGCCCAACCGGGGAAUUGCACUUGAUACUGCUAGGCUAGAGUUCAGGAGAGGGUGGCGGAAUUCCAGGUGUAGGAGUGAAAUCCGUAGAUAUCUGGAGGAACACCGGUGGCGAAGGCGGCCACCUGGACUGACACUGACGCUGAGGUGCGAAAGCGUGGGUAGCAAACAGG
This 253-nucleotide ribosomal RNA is filed under the name uncultured bacterium. Its description in RNAcentral is "partial 16S ribosomal RNA". It matches the Rfam family "Bacterial small subunit ribosomal RNA", at positions 524 to 776 of the family's 1533-position model. The record is from RNAcentral.